Molecule: long non-coding RNA, 4633 nt
Organism: Papaver somniferum (opium poppy)
Lineage: Eukaryota; Viridiplantae; Streptophyta; Magnoliopsida; Ranunculales; Papaveraceae
Exons: 7
Source: RefSeq, a predicted model, not a curated record
CUAAAAACACUUGGGAAAGUUUUUUUUUUAGCUCAGAGAAAAAACUGGAGGAAGAAAGAGGGUUUUAUGUUUAGAUCAAAAGGUAGAAAUCCAUGAUGUAUCUCCAUCUACUGACAAAGAGACAUUAUUAGUGAACUACAUUGUUACUGGAAGCAAUGGAACUGAUCAUAACAUUGACAUACCAUCAAAAGGGGGAGUUUUUGAUGAUGAUGAAAUCUACAAUUUCUACAAAGAAUACGCUAAAAACUAGGGUUUCCUGUACACAGAAGAGCGAAAAAAGAGAAAUGAUGAUGGAUGUGUCUUUUGGUUGUGCAAGAGGUAAACAUCAAAGAAAAGCUGUAAACCCAAGAGGGAAUAUGGAAACUGGAUGUGGGGCUUAUAUUGCAUGUCGAAGGCGACAAGGGGAUGGGAAAUGGGUUAUGUCAGUAGUUAAGUUGGAGCAUAAUCAUAAGUGUAAUCUGGAGGAUGUGAAAUCCUAUAAGUGUUUUGAACCAGUUUGUAGUGGUGCGCGGCGGAUUGAUCUUAAUGGUGGGGGUGACUGCGUAAAAGAAGAAGGCGAAAAUAGCGGUUCAAAAUGAGGGUGUAGGAUGUGCCGAAAUGGUUGAUGAGCAAAAUGCAAUUGGUGAAGGAAGACGUCUACGGAUUGGCAAGGGAGAAGGGCUUUUGAAAUUUUUUGCGAAGAUGAAUGGUGAAAACUCGGGAUUGGCAAGCUGAAUUUUUUGCAAGACAACCAAUGGUUGAAGGAUUUGUUUGAAGAAAGGAGUCGCCGGGUACCACGUUAUCUGAAAGACACAUUUUGGGCAGGAAUGUCAUCAAAGACUCAAAGAAGUGAAGGAAGUAACGUGUUUUUCGACGGGUAUUUAGAUGCAAGGUCUUCGAUUAAACAGUUGGUGGAGCAAUACGAAGUUGCGUUAAGGAAGGAUGUGGAAAAGGAAAAGUUAGCGGAUGAUGCGUCGUCUCUAAAAACUAUUCCCUUGGUAAAUACUUACCCUAUGGAGAAACAGAUACAAAAAAGGUAUACUAACUCCAAAUUUAAAGAAUUUCAAGUUGAGUUAUUAGCAAUGUUGUAUUGUAACUUCUCCAAGAUUGAAAAACACCCACAAGUACGAUCUACAUCAUCCAAGAAGACGUGUAUAUCGAGGAUUUUCGUAAAAAGAUGACUUUUCAUGUGACAUAUAAUGCAGAAGAAUGUGAUGUUCUUGUCAGAAGUUUACAGUUGACGGAAUUCAAUGCAGGCAUGCUCUAAGUGUUUUGUGUCAUAACGGUGUGAGAUAAAUACAUCUUGAGAUGGUGGCGGAAAGACGUGAUAAGAGCUCAUACAAACGUUAAAGUGGGUUAUAGUUGCUGGACUAAUCAUGAGGCGACCAAGCGUUGCCAUGAUUUGUGUACUAAAUUUGCUGAGCUUGCUACUUUGGCAGCAAAUGAUGAGACUCUUUAUCGCGAUAUCCUCAACUGGUUGGACUGUAAAAAAAAGAACUGCAACAGACAGUAUGAAAGCUAAGCAAAGCAAAAAAACUCAAUGGAAAACUACUUGGAAGAAAAUGUAGAGGAGAUAAAGAUGGUGAAAGUGAAGAAGGUGGUAAAAUGUAGCUGCGUUGUUCUCUUCAAUUCAAAAUAUGAUGAAAAGGUAGGCAAACGGUAUCAAAUGUAGAAAUGUAAAGUGGUGGUGGGAUCAAGAAACCUCCUCCUUUGUUGCAGACCACGGUAAUGGUGCCUGUGUUGGUGCUAGCAAGUCAAUUUGGUGGACACAUGGAGCCCCUAAUCCUUGGGAUUGAUGGAUGAACCUCUUGGAGCUAAAUUCGUGAUCCAAGGGUGGAUAGGGCAUGUACGCCCACUGCUAUGUUAUAUUGUUAGCACCACCCCCUAGUUUAUUAGCAUUUUACUUAUGAAUUGGGCAUGAUUUAAUCCAUUACAACUCACAGCAGAUAUAGAGAAGUUAUUGUACUGGGAACAGAUAGAUUUGUUAGAGUUGUUCGUUUCUGUAUUAAAAGUAUUAGAGAAGUUCCUCUUGGUCAUAUGUUUGACUAAAUUUAUUUAUUGGGAUACCUCUACGAAGGAUAGCUUACCGUUAGUUUUAAAUAUAUGCAUUGUUUCUUUUGAUCUAGUGUUAUUAACAUCAAUGGCACUUAAAACGAAAUGCUUGACCUAGCGUUCGAUAAGAGAGUGAUGUUUGUACUUCCCAUGUCCUGAAUAUAAUGUUUGAUGAAGGCACUUUAACAAAGACUCUAAUUAUUUAUACUUCUUCUGAUGAAGUUUAUAAUAUGGCUUAUCUCAUUUCUACUGCUCAAUGUUGAAAAACUAAAAGAAAGUUAUGAUAAUUUGUACGGCGGAGUGCCAGUAUGUUUGUCUUGUGAGUCUGUGACUUAUUAUGCAAACUUUAUUUCCUUCUUUUUUUUUUUUACUGGAGGGGAAGUUUCAGUUUGACUGGUUAUAGCUGUUUUUGCAAUGUGAGAUCAAAACCCCAUUAAUGCUUCACAGAAUGUGAAACUACAUUUUGAUGUCGGUCAUGCAUUUUUAGAAAUGACUGCUAGAUUUUUAUCAGAUAGAGGUGCUUAAAGAAUGCAUAAAAUCUAUACUUACUUUAAUGGCAGUCAACUAAAGCGUUACAUGGCCGCUUCCAGGCUAGUAAAUCCUACACCUGCUUCUGCUUAUGCUCUUAGCCGUGUGGUCGGGUGGAGGUAAGAUUGUUAAUGGACCUGUUAUUGUUUGUGAUAGUAGUGGAAAGUCUCGAGCAAAUUUUUAUUUAAAAUCUGGCAGGAUUCCACUGUGAUCCAUUCAGACGGAUAAACUUUCGCUUGAAAAGUACCUAAAGAUCAUGUUUCCAGAUCACAAAACAGACAUUUUCUCGGUUAUAAUUGUGAUUCUUUUUUUGGACUGAAUACAUGAGUUUUCUCGCUGACAAAUAGUGAAUUGCAAACUGUUGUUGGGAUGUUUGUAAAGUGAUCUGGUUCUCCUGUGUCAAUGUAACUGAUUACUUCUGCAUAUCAUGUCAUCAGUUUCCUAGUCCUUGUUAGUGGCUCAUACCCUUAACCAACUUACAUUGUACUGCCACUAGUUUCUUUCUCUAAGUCAACGUUGUUGAGCGUUAUAAGUAACUUAGUGGUAUUUGAAUUCUGUGCCUUUACUGUACAUUUUUUUGUCCAUGAGCGAAAUUAUGCAGGUCUGUAUUCCAGAGAUUAGAUACUUCCAUUUGAAAUGAAUGAGAGAAUGCAAUUUAGUCUUCCGUCCUGCCUUUCUUAAGCUUAUUUCCCAUUUAGGAAAUGGAGGGAUCUGGGUACAUUUUUAGUUUUUCCUUGGAAAUAUCAAACUGCACUGCAGAUUUUCAAACUUAAUGAUGACUACAUUCGACCAGAGAUUAAAAGCCUCUUGAACAAGACACACUACUUGAGUAACGAUCGAUGUUAGCUGUGGGCAGUGUAUUCUCGGAUCGUACAAGUGCUUUGUUGACAGUACAGACUGUUGUUUCGGAACUGGCUUCCUUGCAUUUAGGGGCUGAAAGAUUUGAAGCUGCAUCCUCCACAGUUUUGAUGAAUAUAGAGAAGCUUCAGAACAUGGCUGGUGCAAUGUGCAUUGGUGGAAAAGGAAGCGUUAGAAGUUCAAGUCUUGCAAGGAAGUUGUUUCUUAUUUGCUCUCUCUUUCAGAACCUCAAGAUGUUUAGCAUCCAAACAAUGUUAAUAGUUCUGAGGACAUGGAUGGGGUGCAUAACUUAGCUUCUGGAAGUGAAAGCCAAGUUGUUUGAGUAGAGUUAGUUUAAAUCCAAUUAAGCAUAUCUUUAUCUCUUUGAGAUGUAUGUGAUUUACAACUCUCUUGGGAGCAGCGAGAGAAAAGAAGAAAAUCUGCUGGCUUUCAUGGGCUAAGAUUUGCAGACCCAAGGAAAGCGGUGGUUUGGAAAUAAGAAAUCUCAGGCUAACCAAUCAAGCUCUAUUAGCAAAAUGGUGAUGGCUAUAAUGAGGAGAAGAUGGCUCUCUGGAGAAGGGUGGUGCUAACUCAACAGGCUGAUGAGAUAUCUUGCAAAUUUGCUAAACAAGAACUUAAAAUUUGAACUAAAGAUCUUUAUGCAUGGCUCUGCAGUCAGCAAUUGUGUUCUAACCAAUCUCUUCAGAGGAGGGUGUGCCAAUCACUUCUGCUAGAUGCUCUCUCUGUGAUAAAGAUGAAGAAUCUGUCAGCCAUAUAUUCCUGCAUUGCACUUAUACUUCAAGAUCUGGAACUACUUGAUGGAUCGUUGUAAGCUGGACUGAGUAAUAGGUGCUGAUUUGCCGUAGGAGCUUGGAAGCACAAGAGAGGGAAAAAUAAAGGUACGAAAAUCUGGCCAUCACUAAUUUUUGCUGUCAUUUGGGUAGAAAGAACAGAAGAGUAAUGACUAGAAAGAAGGGCAGGAAGGAGCAUGACAUUACCAAUGAAGGGAAAAGCUCUAUUUUUCUUUGGAGUGCUACUCAAAAUCUUUUUAGAACAGUGUUGUUUAGUUAACUAAUUUCACACUGGGAUACUCUUCUUGAAAUUGAGAUCAAGUCAGGAUUGUUGGGUUUGCCCAAUGGAAGUGGCUUUCUUGUAAUUCAAAGCAUGUUGUAUUGAUUCUUUUGGAACGAUUUUUUUGGGACCAGCCUUUUUUUCGGGGGACCAUUGUUUUAUUUUG